UUUUCCCUACGGGGCGCAGCAGUGGGGGAUAUUGCACAAUGGGGGGAACCCUGAUGCAGCGAUGCCGCGUGAAGGAAGAAGGCUUUCGGGUUGUAAACUUCUUUGACAGGGGAAGAGCAGAAGACGGUACCCUGAAAACAAGCCACGGCUAACUACGUGCCAGCAGCCGCGGUAAUACGUAGGUGGCAAGCGUUGUCCGGAUUUACUGGGUGUAAAGGGCGUGUAGCCGGGAAGGCAAGUCAGAUGUGAAAUCCGGAGGCUCAACCUCCGAAUUGCAUUUGAAACUGUUUUUCUUGAGUACUGGG
RNAcentral lists this ribosomal RNA (305 nucleotides) under uncultured bacterium. RNAcentral's name for it is "bacterial SSU rRNA". It matches the Rfam family "Bacterial small subunit ribosomal RNA", at positions 333 to 653 of the family's 1533-position model. The record is from RNAcentral.